GACGAACGCUGGCGGCGUGCCUAAUACAUGCAAGUCGAACGAGAGCGCCCGGUGCUUGCCCUGGUCAAUCUAGUGGCGAACGGGUGAGUAACACGUGGGUAACCUGCCCAUCAGAGGGGGAUAACAUUCGGAAACGGAUGCUAAAACCGCAUAGGUCUUCGAACCGCAGGGUUUGAAGAGGAAAAGAGGCGCAAGCUUCUGCUGGUGGAUGGACCCGCGGUGCAUUAGCUAGUUGGUGGGGUAACGGCUCACCAAGGCCGUGAUGCAUAGCCGACCUGAGAGGGUGAUCGGCCACAUUGGGACUGAGACACGGCCCAGGCUCCUACGGGAGGCAGCAGUAGGGAAUCUUCCGAAAUGGGCGCAAGUCUGACGGAGCAACGCCGCGUGAGUGAAGAAGGUUUUCGGAUCGUAAAACUCUGUUGUUAGAGAAGAAUAAGUGCUAGAGUAACUGUUAGCGCCUUGACGGUACCUAACCAGAAAGCCACGGCUAACUACGUG
RNAcentral lists this ribosomal RNA (498 nucleotides) under uncultured bacterium. Its description in RNAcentral is "partial 16S ribosomal RNA". It matches the Rfam family "Bacterial small subunit ribosomal RNA", at positions 28 to 507 of the family's 1533-position model. The record is from RNAcentral.